CAUAUUUUUAUGUUAUAACCAGUUGCAAUUCUCAUUUGGGGUAUCAAGAUUGGUUGUGUUGUUUAAUUUCAUUGAAAGAGUUAUCAUGGCAGCUUAUGGAGCUCUGGUUUCUCUUAUGACAGCCUUCACAAAUAUCCUUCCCCUCCCAUUUCCAUCCCCAAACCACAACUUCAUUCUCUCACCCGAAAUGUUACCUUCUUGCAAGAGUUUCUUGAUGGCUAUAUUUCCCCUUUUGCCGAUAGCCAUGAAGCUCAUCCAUUGGAGCGUCGCAUUGCUAAUGCAGUUUAUGCAGCUGAGGAUAUUAUUGAAGCCCAAAUUGUGGUUCAAAUUGAUAAACGAUCCACUUCUGUUGAAGAUCAUAGCUUUUACAGUAAUCUACAAAAAGUGAUAAAACAAAUGAAUCUGAUCAUGAAAGAGGUGCAAGAGAUUGGAGUUGAAGCUCAGCUGCAGCAAAAGCCUGUUGCUCCCUUGACGACGUCGUAUUCCACCGAAAACGUGAUGGUGGGCUUUGAACAAGUGUGUCUUGAAGUUUUGGAUCGGGAUCAACUCAACCGCCAAAUCAUCCCCAUCACCGGGAUGGGCGGAAUUGGGAGGAGAGUAGAGCCUCAAAAACUGAAGGGCAAUUCCAGAUCCUCAAGUUUCUAGAACUGUGGUGGUGUAAUUGUUUAGAAGAUUGGAUUGUCUCAUACAACAAUAAUAGUGGAGGAGAAGCAUCUUACCGACUGAGCUACGCUUCAUUGUAAAAUAACUAAGGUUCGUGCACCAAGAGAUUCGUUGUUUUCUUUUAAUCUCCUCCGAAUAUAAGAUUGGUUGUCGUUUUUCACCUAAAGAUUUGAUCACGGCAGCUUAUGGAGCCCUGGUUUAAUUUCUCUUGUGCAUAUCAUAGAUACCCUCCAAAAACAUCCUUGCCCACCAAUUUCUAUCCACAGUAAUGGAUGAUAUGUAACGUAUAUAGUUAUGAAACAAGAUCAUAUUUUUCUUUCCUGAUUACCGAAUAUUUGUAACAAGUAGCCUUACCAAAUCCCCUGAUUUUCGAACCACUCCCAUCCUAAUCUUCAAAUUGAAUCUGUUCUGUAUUAGCAAGAUGCAAAGUCUAAAAUGUAUUUUUGUACAUCCUUUAAAAGGCAAAGGGAGAACUCCCUUGUCUCCUCUAUUUCAAGGCGAGAAACAGUAUUAGGUUUAGAGGCAGAUCAAAACAAUUUGUUUCUCCAACAAUACCUUGGUUGUAUGAAACGUGCAAAAAAAAUUCCCAUAUAGUUUCAUAAUGUACCAAUAUAGUAGUUUAUAGGGAUGUCAAUCGGGUCGGCCCAGCAGGUUUCGGGCCAACCCUACUCGGGGGCGGGUGGUCAUUCGGGGUGCUAAUUUGGCAGGCUAUUCGGGCAGCCCACGGAUUGCGAGUUGUACCGACAUUACUAAUAGUUUACCUAGUUUGAAGUGGAACCAUAUUCUUCCACUUUAAAGUUUAUCUCACUUACUUUAUUCUCUCUUCAGUCUUCACUCAUGCACUUUUCUGUCUUAUGGAGUACUUUUUUACUCUUUGUAAUUAACUCUUUUAAAUAUCAAUUUUUUAAAUUACGUGUCCAAAAGAAGUGUCUCACUUGACGAAGGUUGGAGGGAGUAGGAGAUAUUUUUAUAUAAACAAUAUUUGGAUAAUCUAAGUAUCUAAAAUACUUGAUAUAAGAAAUCCUUCACACGAACUGGAGUGACGAAAACAAAACAGUUGUGGAAACCGGCGCCUAUGAGGGUCGGCGGCGAUAAGUUCUGAGCGGCUAUGUGCAGGGAUCUUCUAUUGGGCAGCAGCGAUAGAAUAGUUUUGCUUAGAUAACAAGAAUUAGGGCAAAUAAUAAUUUGAUUGCUUAAGGAAAAAUAAUGAGUUUUGCCCUAUUUAUAUAAGGAAGACCCUAUGGUUGGUUAGACUUAACUUAGACAUCAAGGAAAGAACCAACAAAAAAAAUCAGACGGAGCUUAUAAAUCACUCGACACAAUGAUAAAUUAAAUAACAAUAAAAGUCUCUAAAAAAUAAUUAAAAAGGAAAAUAAACUAACUAAUAACUCAGAUAUUAUGCACCUCAUUUGGCGACGUAAUUCUGGAAUCUCUCUGGCCGCUUGAGCUUCUCGCGGGGCCGCAAACUUCUUGCUGCUGUCUCUCCUUCGGGUUGGCCUUCCUCCUGCGUCAGCUCAGCAUCCGCUUGCGCUUCUUCCUCGAUGUCGUUCGCCCUUGAUGUCUCCUUGGUUGUUCUCGCAUCAUUGGGCUCCAUGGGUUGUUGAAGGACAACCGUAUCAUAUACCCCUACUACAUUCGUAAGAGCAUCCACAAUAGCGCCUAGUGCACCGCCUAGCCGAGCGCCGGCGCUAGGCGGUGCGCUAGGCGAACUAUUGCAACCGC
RNA transcript from Salvia splendens (bonfire salvia), 2385 nucleotides. RefSeq lists it as uncharacterized. The transcript is spliced from 2 exons. The record is from RefSeq and is a predicted model, not a curated record. Lineage: Eukaryota; Viridiplantae; Streptophyta; Magnoliopsida; Lamiales; Lamiaceae.